ACCUAGGAUACAUAUGAAAAAGAGCAAUUAAAUGUAAAAUUAGUGGGGUAGAUUCCAGGCAAAUUGUUAUCUACCUGCAUUUGUACAGACUCAUGCUGACAUCCUGCACACUCCAGCAUUAUUGUGGCAUUGCUUGGUUAUCCAGCUUCAGAGGUGCUCACUACAUGAAGUCCUCAGACUGCAUCAGUUAUUAAAUAAAUCGCAUAUAAACCCAGGAAAUAGCAUUUUAUUAUAGUUCACACAGAAGUCAUUGCAGGAAACAGGAAUAGCUCUGGACUAAUACUGGAAAAACUGAGGUCAUAUUAGGACUGCUUUCAUUAUGCAAUUUUUUUUCUGUUUGCCUUUGUGGGUCAAUUCAAGAAUGAAGAAUUUAUUCUCUAGUAUUGCAGCAAGAAAAAGAUUUCUAUCUGUGCCAUGCAGAAGAGCAAAUGAGAUAUUUAUUACUCAUUCUGGUACACAAAGAAGUCAUGAACUAGAGGGAACACUGUCCAAGAAAAGUCCCAGUUGAAUCAGUAGCUGAGAAUUACCCUGCAAAUACCCAUUUGAUUUCCUUUUCCUGUCAUUAGCUCAGCUCUUCGAACACAUUCAUAUGGUGGCUAUAGCUUCUGAAUAAUACUGAAUGCCUGAGCACAGUGAGGGAAAUGGCAAUAAAACACAGAUGCUGGCAAUAAAUGACAGAUGCUGGGCUGCUGGGGAGCAGGGGCUCAGCAGUGCCCGCAGCUGCCGCCUGCAGAAGCCCGAGGGGGCUUUAAGUUUGCCGAGAAGGGAUGUGGUCUCUGGUUCAAUAAGUAGGUGGUGAGAGCAUCCCCAUGAGCUUUGGGCUCUCUGCAGACAAGUGGAGCUUCCCAGGGCCACACUGGCUGCCCCAUGGCUGGAAACUGGUCCAGUGGGUGCCCAGCCCCAGCUAUGGCACCAUUUAGAAUGUUUCUCUAAUGUCCUGAUUUUGUAACCACAUUUCUUUGAGAGUGAACAAAAAGCCAAGACCCAUCUCAGGCAUUAUUGCUCAAAUGUAUUGGUUAAGUUUCUUUUCAGGGAGUGGAACAGGCUGCCCAGGGCAGUGCUGGAGUCACCAUCCCUGGAGGGCUGGACAGACGGACAUGAGGUUCUCAGGACAUGAGGCAGUGCCAGGGGUGGGUUAUGGCUGGACUCAAUGAUCCUGAGGGUCUCUUCCACCCAAAAUUAUUCUGGGACUGUGUGAUUCUAAGUUUCUUUUUGUGAAGUAUCAUUAACAAAACCUAAAACCAACUCGCUGUCCCACUGGUGGGGUAUCUCUUGGCAACCACUAGCAUUGUACUCCCUAACCUUUGGAGACCUAUAAUUAGACACAACUCUAAUUUGCCACUGAGGCAGCUAUACUAUUAUAUUUCCAGUUGGUUUAUUAGUUGAAUCUCUUGAUGCAUCCAGUUUACGAACCAAUUGUGAGAUCUGACCUGGAAUCUGAGGGAAAGUUUAUAGACCUGUGGGAAGGUGGACAAAUGAGCCUUGGGAUGGAGCCUUUGGAGAAGGACCUCAUUUGUGGGUCCUGGUCCUUCUGGGUGCCUGGAGUCCUUUCAUGUUCACCCACCGCUGUUUGCCUGUGAUGUCCUGCAGCAAUGGUGUGCUUUGGGGUUGAGUUUCUCUCUUUUCAGGUUUGACACAAGCCUCAGGUCACCGGAGUGUGUGAGCAAAAGGAAAAGCUGCAUCCCUCCAUCCCUCCGACUGUUAUCUAAGGCUGCCCGACAGAAUCAGCCAUCAAGGAUGGCAAACUGCUGGGUUUGGGCAACACUCAAAACAAUGCAAUUGAUGAAAACAGUUCCCAUAGGCUGCCAGCAGGAGUCCUUUGUCCGACCAUUAUCACCUAGAAAGGGUUUGAACAGUACCUUUGCCUUAAAUUCAGCAGAAAGAGGUGCCUGGAUGAUCCACUUCUGCCUGGGGGUCCUUCACAUCCCAGUGGGUGACUUCAAGUGAAGGAUUUUGCAUCAGUGAGUCUAAGUUCGCUUAGCAACUUCUCACAGUCAUUUUUUUAUCAACAUGCUGAAAAGAUGUAAUAAAUCAGGGCUGCAUCCCAAAGCUUUACUCAUUUCCUGCACAUGCAAAGUACCCAUCACCUUCAACUAUGGCUUUGCAUGACAAAGAAUUGGCUGGAGAUGACUAACAGCUCAGGAUCUGACCCUGUAUUUAUAUUUACACACUCAUAUCUCAAAGAGGAAUGACGUUUGUGAAGUGCCCAAAUAUUUUAAGAUAGUGGCAUAAUUUGUGUAAGGUUGCAUUGAAAGGGCUUGUGACCGAUCCCUGGGGGGGAUAAGGUUGUUAAGACCACUAAAAGGCUAAUUCAAUAAAAUCAUUAAUUUGCUAUGAUCUCAAAAGCAAGACAGACAUUUACAAAAAUAGACUGGGGAUGAUAUGGUGAAGAUUAGUAUAAAAGAAUAACGUAAACAAUUAAGAAUGAUACUGGAAAGACCAAGACACAAGAUGAGGUGCAGUGGAGAAGUGAUAUAGGGGUAAGGAGGAAAGACUCUGUAAAUCCAUGGUCAAAGAAGACUGAGGAACGAGUCCGCUCCCUGCAAAGUUUGCGGUACCAACCAACCGUCGGUGCCAAACCUGAAAGGCACACGUAGGGCUGGACAUGUGGCACGGCAAGAGCCACCAACAGGAGACCUCCAGUGAGGUUCCUCACUAGAAUAAAGGAAGAACUAGAUGGAUGUCGCUAGAUAAAAUCUGUGGGUUAAAAUUCCUGAGCUUCAAGAAGUUUAUCCAAGAGCACUUUGAAACUGGCUGAAGCAGAUUCAGAGAUAUUCGUGGUUAUCACCCAGAGUCUUAAAAGACACAUGGCAAAAGUUCCAGAAAACUUGAACUAGCAAAGGCGGGGCCUGUCUUUAGAAGUGAUCUGUCUUUAAAUUGGAUCAGUGGUGAAGGGAUCAGAGAUUUAGCUAAAUAUAACAAUGCCAUUUCUUUCAUAUUUGGGCGCUGAUGUCCUUAUGUAAAUUCUCAGUAUUCCUGAUGCGAACGCCUUGGGGCUUGUACUUCCGAGUUUUUCCAGGACAGCUGCCCAACAGGUCUGGGUGGCUGCUUUAGGCCUGGCCUGUUUUUUCCUUUGAUGAGAUGAUAGGAAAUGAUAAUUCUGAGUGAUUCCUACAAAAGAUAUCAAGCCAAUUUUUCAGAGAGUGAGAUUCCCAUUGCUUGUCGAGACUCGUUCUGUACCAGGUUGACUCACCCAAGAUUCACAUACACCUUUUCUCUUUUUGAAAGUGUCUGAGCCAACUUGUUAGUGGAAUUGUUUAUGGAAGAGGUAGGCAAAAUGUAGCCCAGUACUUCAGGUGAACUGUGAUACAGUUCAUCUUACCCUAGUUUUCCACAGUGAUUAACUAGAAAAAUGAUUCUGCGUUUUCUGUUUUGAGAAAAUCUUUGUGAAACCAGUGGUCCAGGUGGCUCUGCUUCACUGCUGAGCAUACAGGAGGUGGUGAAGAGGAGGGUUCAUCUCUGAGCAUUGAUGUCUGAUCAUUGGUUUGACCAUUUGUUUUGACACAGAGCAUCAAUUAAAUUAAGAUCUAUAGGAGCAAAACCAUCGGAAUCCACAGUGUGAAAGCUCAUACCACCCACUGGCUGGAAGUAGAGGAGAACCAAGCUGUGAUAUACAGCUGAAUUCUGAUUUAUCUUGUUACUCCAGCAAGCUCUCCUUCUUUGGAAAGGUGCAUUAAGAAUGUUGUAUCAUUUUCCUGGAUUGCAACUUGUUUCUGUGUACAUUUUCUUUAAUCAUGUUUUUGAGGAGAUCAAUUUCAUGCCUUGAAAAAGACCUUUGCUCAUUUUCCAACUGAUUGCUGUUGUGACAAACCAAACAAACCAAAACGAACAGAAGUUUUCCAUGUGAACAAAAGCAGAUUCCUCCAGUGAACCUGUCUCAUCCAGGUAUUCCAUCCAUCCUUUUUUGUUCGCUUAAGAAGUUUGAGAGGAAGACAGCGACCAAUGCCUGGAUUCACAGCAGAACUUCAUUGUGUCCUCAUGGAACAUUUUAAUUCCGAGCUUCUGGGCAUUGGGUCCUAUAUUACACCCCAGGAUUUGGCAAUGAGGCCAUGGACUCUUCUAAUGAUGAGCAUCAGAAAAAGGUGCUGAGCAGCCAGUAUAGCUGGAGGAGGCGCCCAGAAGCAGCCAGUCCAGACACUAAGGAGCUCGGCGUGUUUUUCACAUCUUCCCUUCUUGGAAGCUUUGGCAUUUCAGAUAAUGCUGCUGGUGUUUUACAUAACACUGCCAUGUACUUUGGGCAGGAACUGGAGUUUCUGGCUGGAAGGUGCCUUCCCAUGUUCUGGUCGGUUGUGUCAGGGUGUCCUGCCUUCCAAGCCACGGCUGCCCCAGGAGAUGGGAUCAUCACAGACGGGAUCGCCUCCUGCCUCCCUCCACCCCUUUCGCACUAUGAUUUACUGGCUAAAACUCCCAUCCAGAAUGUGGCAGAACCAGGUUUGAUUUCCUCCUUCGCCACAGGGCAUUUAGAUGUUUAUCUCUCGUGGGUGUCCCAACCAGCUGGCUACAGGUUGUGCUGAGGCGGGGACACUUUUCGUAUCACCUAAAGAAUCUGGGGCACAGUGUAGGAGAACAGCUGACACCCUGGGCAAGGGGCAGGGAUCAGGAAAAGGCUCACGGGUCACAACACAGGUAGUUGUGGGUGUUUUCUGGGGAAAAACGGUUUCGAUAGGUGCUCCAAAUGCUGUUUGGAGACAUCUGCUCUAGUAACUUCAACAGAACUGGGAGAUGUUCCCAGGUACUGGAGCUCAGUUCUUGAGACAGCCGCAGUGGCUCCCAGCACAAUUUGGGUGCCUGCCCACGCACACCCUCCUGAACAGUGGUGAGCAUGGCCAGAUGCUGCAAGGAUGGGUUGAGGGCUCCGUGCCUGAGAUCAGUCUGGGGCACAGCCCUAGUCAGGCAUCCCCUUUACAGACGUAAGAUUAAAGAGUCUUUGGGUAAAGAACAGAGGAAUGAGAGCGCAAAGUCGGGUCUGAAGCCACAGGCUCCUCCUUUGGAGAAGGGGGCUGCCAGCACGGUCCUGCGGAGCUCCCACCACCAGCACCAUCCUCCAGAACCAAGCCAGCAGCUUCUGUCCCUCGAAAUUGCUCUCCUGAGACACUUUACAACUUCCAGCUAAUACCAAUUUCUCAUUUGUUAUUGGUAUGGUAUGUUAUUGGUAUGCUGUUCUAAUUUGAGAGCUACACAGAAAUACCUCCUACUCUUAAAGAAAUGCUUCCUUUCAAAACUCCUCCUGGAAUUGUGUCAAAGAAUACACAGAAGAGAGCAAAUUUGAAACGCAGGUUAACACUGAAUAUCCUGACUGUAAUGAAGUGGUAUUAGCUUUUGUUUAGUUUAAAAGAACAACUACUUACAUUUGCUGGAAAACGCAGCCAGGAAUAUUUUUCUGCAUCACUGUGUUCUGUGUAUGGUCUGCAGCGGAGCUAAAAUGUGCCGUUUCUCUUGGAUUGCUUCCUGGUUUUUAUAUAUAGCAUCACGUAUUCAGUACCACGUCAGAGCACGGGGCUACGCUAACAGAAUUUGUUUUGCUGGGCAACAUCCCCAGAGCUGGUUUCACAAGAAUGACUCGCCUGAAUCAUGGCAGCUAUUAAUUUUCAGCUGUCUGGAAAAACUGAUGCCCUGCGUGGAAGAGGAGUCCCAGACACUUCCUCAAGUACGUGCUUGGCGAUGGAGCAGAUUACAGGGUCUGAUCCUGACCCCGUCUGGGCGCUGCGUGAGCUAACACAGAUUAUCCAUGAGUACAAAAAGUUAUUUAGUUCCAAGGAAAGAAAAGAUGACCCCUGGCAUGAAAAGCAGCGCUAAUUCGAGCCGGAUUGGGCUAUCCCCGAUGAGUGUUUGUGUUGGUGUUGCCUGGGAUACCUGGCUUUGAUGCUGAUUGCAUUUACACUAGCAUUCUUCUCCAGGUAUGAUGUCGGUUAAGGCGAGUUCAUCUGCGUUUCAGGGCAGGAGAGUCUCUUCAUGAGGUCUUGGUGCAGUGGGAGAGCGGAGGAGCAUCCCGCAGACAUGGUGGAGAAUAGCAAACCGGUGUGUUCACAGCCACACGGACACGUACCGCAGCUCCGGCCUUAUCGUGGACACCGAUCUCACGCCCGGAGUCAGCACAUAAAGGCUGUGAAUUCCAGACGGUGACGCUGCAUCGGUUUCUGACCGCCGGGGAGGGUUUGCUGCUAGAAAAGAUAAAGCAGCUGAAACCCAGGGGCUGCCGGACAACCUGGGACCCCGCGGGGACGCGGCCGUGCUGGGUUUGCGGGGUGCGCUGGGGACGGGACAUCUGCCCAAGCCAGAGAAAGCCCCAAAGGAAAGAGAUUUGACUGGUUGGUGAUUGAUAUAAUUUAUGCUUUGAUUUGUGUGUCUAAGUAUUUAUUUUUGUAUUUGACUUUCAUAAGAACAAGUCAGCUCUUGUCAGAGGCUUUCCAUAGCAGUUUUGGUUUUUACAACUACCAUCUCUUUUAUAUUUGCUUACUUUGCUGGGUGCCCGGCUGAUACAACACAGCUGUCGCCUGCAAGAGCAUGAGUUCUGCAAACAAGCUACACACUUCCUCAGCAGUUUGAAUUUCAUCAUAACUUGUGGAAAAGAGAAGGCAAACCCUUCUGUUUCUCCAGGGCACCACCCAUUUCGUCACCAACUCUGUGAAAACAAGAAUAAAGUGAUAAAAUCCCGGGGAAGGGGAGGUAUCUCCCUUGACGCAAGCAGAAUGAACACAGCAUCUCCGACUGAUUUCUGCAAUGGCAUGAGAUGGUUCCCAGUAUUUUUCCAUAGCCUGUUUAUUUUACGCUACACCUUUGUUUGAAGGCUCUGGCCAGCUCCAUACAUUGAUUAGUGGUGCUCUUUACAGCUGAGGACUUGUAAGUUUCUUUCCUUGACAACUGAAAUACAAUUUAAUUCAAUUAGAAUUCAGCAAGAGGCAAGAAAAUGUUCGUUUUCUUCAGUGCGCUGUACUUUUGACAGCUGCGGAUUCCCAGCACUCACACCUGACAAUAAACAAACACACGGCAUGAAGCACGUGAGGAGGCAGAAACCCACAUCCCCCAGCUCGCCACAAAAGAGAACUGAGCUCAUUUCUGUGGUCUUCUGAUAGGAAUUGUGUUGCCAAAUUUGGAGCUGCAUCCUGCACACAGCCUAUAUUACUAUUCCUGAAAGCAACCCAAAGAGGCAACAUGAAUGUCUCCAAGAGUUGCUUUGCAUCCAGCCCUCCCAAGCAGAGGGAAAAUGGGAACGAGUCGUGUCACUGGGAGUAGCGGCUCCACUCACUCCAUUGCUUCACCUCACAAGUGUUUUUGUUAUUUUGUUCACAUUUGUGUGAUAACAUUGCCAGGAACUGAACAUAACAAGGCUGCUGCAUCCUCAGGCUUGGUCCACUCGCAGCUGUUUGUUGUUGCAUCCAGCGGCGACAGCAAAUUUACUUCUUGGAGUGAUUUUGGUUGAAUUUUGUCAGCCCGAGCAUCUCCAGUCGCUGAUGCUGUUGGGCAGUCGGGCACAAGAAGAAAGCAGUUUGUGCUGGGUGUGAGCUCGGGGUACCAGCCACGUGCAUCCCAUCAUCCACCCGCAUCCCAUCAUCCACCCGCAUCCCAUUACCACCCGCAUCCCAUCAUCCGCCCUUGCACAGCUGGCAACUUGAUGAUCUUGAGGGUCUCUUCCCAGCAAAAUGAUUCUAUGAUUUGAGGUUCUAUGGCUGGCAAACUGACAUGGACACGCAGACGUGCAGUUGCUGCUCCUGUUCUGGAGCGGAUUCAACCCAGAUUUGCCAGGAAAAUGUUCUUCGCUGUCUUGGGGGCCCUGGAGGAGACACAUACAUUGGUCCCCUGGACUUCCUUUGGGAACCAUUUCCUCUAUAAACGUUUGUGACGCUUCCCAUAAAAUGAGCCUGAUUUCUAUUUUCUCCUGAGGAAAAAUAGAGGCAAUAUCAAGGGAAUUGUUUCCCAGUGACUGGGAAUGCAUUGGAAGAAAAUAUUUGCAAAUGUGUUUCUCAGCUUGUCAUGAGUUGUUUCCCAGGGUUAUCUUGGUCUGAAGUUGAGACUUUCUUUGGGGGUUUUUGGAGGUUUUCUUCCUGAUAUCUGGGGGUUCGUUUGCCUUGUUUAUUUUUGCUUUUUAAGAAAGGUUUUGUUCAGGUUUGUAAAUUGAAAUAGAAAUUAUCAUUGGGUAAAGAAUGGUGAACCGCUGGAACCGAAAAUGCAGUUGUGAACUGAAAACAGCCCAUGAGGUCUAGACAUGUUGCAAAUGGUCGAGUUUAGUAGAAUGAGGUUCCUGUUUCCCAACAGCACCAGGAAAUAGAAGAUUUGCUCAGGUCUUGUCGCGUUUUAAUUUGGGAUGGUGACCUCCAGAUGAGGCACCAGCCUGGACUGGGCCUUGCAGGUCCCGUACAAGCGGAAUUAAUGUUGUCCCGCGUCUCCUCAAAUGCGUAUUUGCCUGGAGUAAGGAUGUUCUCCAACAUUUAUGCCUUUGUGGCAAAUGGAAGCAAAGCAAAAGCUCAUUGUGGUGGUGGGAUUUAAAUGCAUAGGCAUUGGAAAAGCCUAAAGGAGUAUUUGAGAUGUGGAGUUUAGCUGGAGCGUGGCGGCGUUUGAGGAGGUGGCAGUGGUUACCAUGGGUUAUCUUCACCCGCCAUAGGGAAAAGAUAGUUGACAGAAAGAAAAAUGUAUUAUUUCUUCAACAAAAGAUCCUAGGAGCUAUUUAGAGUGUAAUUGUUGCAUAAAAGAAUGAAAAGAGGAAACUAGUUCCGUGCUACUCCCGUAUCAGUAGAUGUAUUUUCUUUGUGACAGGUAUUAGGAAAUUGUUUCCUAGUGGGAUCACACACAUGGACAAAAAUAACUUACAUAGAAAACCAUUUAAUUAAGAGAGCAACCUAAUUGCACCAUUGCCAGACUUCAGGCACCCUGAGCAACCUCACUGGGAAUCCUAGAAAAACACUUCGGAAACACAGUUGUCCUAAGGGAGUUAUUUAGGCCUCUUUAAUGCUUUGAUUGUUUUAAUAUUGAAAAAUUGGCCAUUGUCCAUUAUUGCCAAGAUUUCUUUGUGUUCGUAUUUAGCAUUUUUGACAGUAAAUAAUGUAACUACAUCCAGGCAGGUUGAACCUGGCAGUGCAGUCACUGGGCAGCACAUGCAGAAAAAUGAGUGUACGGGCAGCUCUAUGGAUGGAAGGGCUGCCAGAGACUGCAUGUCCUGGAGAGGAGACUGAAUAUCGGAGGCUUUCAUGUUCAACACAGCGCCCAAAGGCAGCACAGCUGCUCCUCCUGAGCAAUCACAGGUUUAUAUAGUUCCCCUGCUCAGGAAGGGGCAGGUGGGGUUGUUGGUAACUGCCUGGUUGAGGUUGAGAAGGUCGGUUUGGUUUUGAUCAGAUCAGGUGGUGUUUGGGAAAGGAUGGAGCUAUUUCUGUCUCCAUUAAUCCUGGCCAAAUAUGCUGCUCCUUGUAUGAGGAAACAAACAAGGAGUUAGAGGUGAGAAUAUUGGCACUUUUCUAUUUCCUCAAGCCUUUGCCUUUUCUUAUCUGCACCAUUACCUAUUGGCUUUGCUUUCCCACUGCAGCUCACACGGGGUGCUGUAGCAGCAGCGCUGUGGGUUCCUGCUUGAGCUGCUACUGUUCUUUUGCUUCUUGUCUGUAAUAGUGAUGCUGUAACUCUGAAAACAGCUUGGGGGCAGCACAAAUGCUUAUUAAACAAAAAUUAAACAUUCAUCCUGAUCUCCUCUUUCAUUUGUCAUAUCUCUCCUGCUCCUUGUUUUAUGUGUGGCUAUUGCACUGGUUUGGUUUGCAGGAGUUUGUAACAGACGUGGAUAAAAUUGCAGUUAAAACUGAGCUAGUUUCAGUACUGUAAAAAAUCUCCGGUUCACUGCAAACACCGUGUAGGUUUUUCAUGGCAAAGACGGAGCUUUGGGCGAGUUGCUUGAGACAAGUAAACCAAAGAGAGCGGUGGAAGAGCAUCGUAUGGGCUGGGACAGCCGGAGCUCCUGUGAUCCAGGGCAACAGAAAGGAACGUUUCGAUUGCUUCUCAAAACAUUCUGGUCUUAGAUCAGAGAAAGUUGGUAUCGGAGUCUCCAGGGCUUGUCACUUGGCAGAUCACAAGUCUGUUGAAGCUGAUAAAAGAUCAGGAGAGAGUCUGGGGGUAGGAAAAGUAACAGAUAUUUUAAUGGGGGAAUUACCAGAAAUGUGUUGGUUUGGGUUGGUUUUUUCUUCGUUCGUUUGUUUGAGGCCACACCAGUGGAUUUCUGAAGAAAAUUACUUUUACUGCCAGCUGAAACUGCAGACCAUGUGUUACCUGCCUCCCCAAAACCCUGCCAAUGGUGUCCGUGACAAUCACCACAACCCGCCCAGAGAAGACUGCAGAAUUCUCAAUUUUCUGCAGUUUUGUUGGGAUUUGGGGAUUCCAAUAAUUAAUUUGGGGGGAUUUUGUAAUUUUAUGGGGAUUUUUAAAAAUCUUCUCUUUUGAAGAGAGCGCUGGGACCUGUGAAAUAGGACCUAGGACCCAUCUGCUGUUCCCCACAGCAGUCAGUGCAGAAGUACUGAGAGCUGGUCCUCACCAGGGAGAUGUGGUGGGUACUCGAGCUGGUUUCUGCACUAACAUGACCCUAUGGAUUUGCUAGAACAGCUGCUGCCUCCCAAAUCUCUGAUGUUUGUAAAACAAAAAUAAAGGCUAAAUAAUGAUGAUCCUGUUCUGUGGAGCCCUGCUGAGCCUCAGCAAAAAAACAGUGUGGGAAAAACUGGAAAGAAAACACAACACAGAAAUAAUAAUGCAUACAAGGACCACUAAAUAACUAAUGGAACAGACCAAGGCUUCAGCGGAACGGAGGGCUUAUGGUUUCUCUGCGAGUUUGGAAAACAUCAGCUUGAUGCUUUUUAAUUCUGUUCUAAUGCAGAACUUUGAAGGUGGGAAUGAGAAGCGGGAAUUUGAUUUUGGAAGGCAAUGGAGGAACAUGAACGUGGGCAGAUGAAUCGGAAGACAAAGCAGAAGUCGGUUGUUAGGUGUCACUUUGGGCGGGCACAAAAUGAAGAGCAGCCACCGGGCUAAGCACAAGUAUCUCAACAAACACCCUUUAACAUCAAUGCCCUGUCAGUCUCAGCCUGUAAGUUAAGCAGAAGUUUAGCUGAUUUAUCCUAGAACCACUCAGAUGACCAAAAAAGGCCAAUUUUCCUGAUGCAGGAUGAUCUUCAGGGAGCACCAUAAAUCUCUCAGAUAUGCGCAGUUUUCAGGGAAGUCUGAAUUCUCUAGAGAAGAGGCUGGAGUUGGACACAGGUUUUUGUGUCGGUCCAAAGUCAGAAGUCACUUCUGAGGCUGACCUUGCAAAACCAACGUGGUUUUGCUGCACCAAAAGCCAUAAAAUAAUCAGAUACCACUGUGCUGGUGUGCUUUAUAUCAACAUGUACUUUGAAUGAAAUGAAACCUCCUAAAACUGGCUUCAGGGAGCCCAUAGAAAGUUGAGGAAAGAACUGUCUCCAUCAGUGGGCACCGACUGGUGACCUGCAUCCUGUAAGUCACAAAAUGAUGGACCAGAAGCAUCACAGGGGUGAUUAAGACGUUGCUUGGCAAUGGAUAACAAAUUCCAGUCUUUAUAGGCAGUGACUAUGACACUCCAUUUGCUCUUUGCUUCUCGGAACUUGGAUGUUUACUGGAAGAGACUAAAAAGGCAUUAAUUCCAACAUGAGUACAUCUCCAUUUUGCCAAAGCUCUGCUGAUAUCUGCUGGACAGGGUAUGUUAUUUGUCACCCCCCAUGGGAGACUGGUAGAGUUUUUUUCAUUUUCAUUCUCUUUUCUUGAGUAACAAGUGACAGGAUGAGAGGAAACGGCCUCAAGUUGCGCCAGGGGAGGUUGAGGGUGGAUUUAGGAACAAUUCCUUCCCCAAAGGGCUGUUGGGCAUUGGAACAGGCUGCCCAGGGCAGUGCUGGAGUCACCAGCCCUGGAGGGCCGGAUAGACGGACAUGAGGUUCUCAGGAUAUGGGGCAGUGCCAGGGGUGGGGUAGUGGUUGGACUUGAUGAUCUUGAGGGUCUCUGCCAACCAAAAUGAUUCUAUGACAUCAAAACAUCCAUUGCUUUUGAGUUAAUGAAGAGCAAAUGCCCGUUCAUGAAAACUCCUGCAGGUGCCCGUUGGCAGAUCCUGUGCAACACCUACAGGAAAAUCCUCUGGGUUUCAGUCCAGUGGAAAACAAAGCGUCUAACCAGAGGCUGGCAGUUGUACGUGGAGCUGAGCAGGGGGAGCGUGAGGGAAGGAAAAGUGUGAUCCUCUUCAGCCCAUUUUUCUCCUUUUUUGAGAGAUUCUUAAAUCUGCAGAUAUAUGCCUUCCAUGAUACUUAGCUUGCUCAGUAAAGCCAAAAUCAACUUUUCGUCCCGCAGACAGUGGCAAUGCGCAAAGCAGCUGAAUCAGGGCAGAAAAACAGUUGCUUCCUUCUCCAGUGAGGGUUUUGGGUUUUGUUUUGAAUAAAAAAGCACCCGCUUCUCAGCAUGUCAGAUAAGAGAAGCUGCAGAGAGCAGCGGGUUAUAUAAUUAUAGGGCUCAGUUCACAGCCCAGGGAAGGCACUUCUGGGGCUGAUUAGAAGUUUAUAACUUAAUUAAAUCCCAGUGGAAAGUAUGGGGCAGAAAUAUGGGAAGUUUUGAAGCAGUGGAUAGCAAAGGGAUAAGAGAAAAAGCAGCUCGGCAUGGUGGUAAAUGCCUCACAAGUAUUCUCUCUGACCGAGAAUGCGACACCAGUGGCAUUCAGGAAAUAAGAGGAUGUAACUAUUAAAGCCCAAACUUCUACUAUUUCAUAAAACUUCCUGGUGAUGUCUUCCACCAUCUGUUCCAGAAGCAGAAAUACUGAAGGUGGACACUGGGGGCUGUGAGAGCAGAUUGCUGGGAUCUAAAGUCUCCCUAUCUGAAUCUCAGACUUGAACAAAGAGCCUGUUGAGUAUGUCAGCAUUCACCAGCGCUGUUCUCUUUACAGUUAUCCUUUUAAAUCAACAGGAGAAAUAAAAAACAAAUGCAACAACCCCCCCCCAGACCAAACGCUAGCAAGAAGAGCACUUGAAUGCUUAGAGAACAGGAAAUUUCUACCAGUGUUUCCUCUGGUGUCUUCACCCACUUUACUUUGCAUAUCUGCUGAUCUGUAUUGAUUAUUCUCAUGCUGGAUGUCUCAGUUCUUGUUGCCUUAAAUUCUCCCAAUGCAAUUGCAAAUCCUACCCUUGCAUUAGUUGUUAGAUGAGGCAAAAUGUUUCUCUGUUGCUGUGUUGCUGUUAUGUGCUGCAGUUUAUUUUGAUUCCAAGUCAGUUGUUUUGGUCAUUUUCUGUUUGGGUUGGCAUUAGCCCCUGGAUAUUUUAGCUCGUUGCAAACCCCUCUGCACCAGCACGGAGGUGCAUGUUUAACCAUCGUCACAGCUUGCAGCCUCCUUUCUCUGAGGGCUUAAUUAGGCUUUUGCCAUGUUGGUUUUGCACUUUUUUUAAUGAUACCCUUCUAACAUCUUAUUUUUCUCCCCUCUCAUGCAGGGUCUAUGUUGUAGGAAAAUAGGAAAUUAGGAUUUUAGGCCUAUAUCAGUGUUAUAAGCUGUGCUGCUAAAGCUGAAAGUCUCAGCUUGUCCCCUGUAUAGCCCUUACCCAGAACCAUGAGCGUGGUUACCUUAUGCUUGCUUUGUACCCUUAGUUAAGACAUUGAUAAAUACUAUUCUUAGGGUUGCUGAUUUCUAUGCUAGACUGGUGAACUAUGGAUAACAAAUGAGACAGGUGGAACUUCAAAAGAAGCUAGCCCUGCGACUGAUGGCCUGUCGUUCUGUACUUGCCAAGAAAGAAGAAGUGGAACCUGCAGACCACUGGAACGGAAGGAACCUGAGGAUAUCGACAGUGAUAGAUAUCGACAGUGAUAGACAGUGAUAGAUUUUGUUUAGUUGCAUAAUACCUGUUAGAACCCUAUAUAAUGACUAGUUAUACUGCUGUAUGAUUGUCACUCUCUGAGGAGGUGACCCAACGCUGCUGUUCCUGUGAAUCUUCUACAAUAAAUACUGCUCAGAGUAA
Columba livia (rock pigeon) is the source of this 13958-nucleotide RNA transcript. It is a transcript of the gene named cysteinyl leukotriene receptor 1, with no coding region annotated. The transcript has 3 exons. Lineage: Eukaryota; Metazoa; Chordata; Aves; Columbiformes; Columbidae. The record is from RefSeq and is a predicted model, not a curated record.